Small nuclear RNA from Suncus etruscus (white-toothed pygmy shrew), 116 nucleotides. RefSeq annotates it as U5 spliceosomal RNA. The transcript has a single exon. The record is from RefSeq and is a predicted model, not a curated record. Lineage: Eukaryota; Metazoa; Chordata; Mammalia; Eulipotyphla; Soricidae.
AUGCUCUGGUUUCUCUUCAGAUCAUAUAAAUCUUUCACUUUUUAUUACAUAUUUUUGUGGAGAGGAACAAUUUUGAGUUUCAAUCCAAUUUUGUGAGGCCUUGAUUCAAUGAAGCU